Molecule: long non-coding RNA, 2196 nt
Organism: Triplophysa rosa
Lineage: Eukaryota; Metazoa; Chordata; Actinopteri; Cypriniformes; Nemacheilidae
Exons: 6
Source: RefSeq, a predicted model, not a curated record
GCCUAUCAGAAAGGAGCUGGGUAAACUAUUGGUGAAGAAGUGGAGCAGGUGAACAGUUUCCUAUCUAGGAUUGCUAUUACUACCAAGUACAUGUCAAAAUCAGGUCGUGUAGACAUUAUUACAAUGCAGGCCAUGUCCUGGAAUGAGCGCAAGCAUCUCAAUUUGGGACAGGCUUUAGUUCAUAGAUAUUUAAAGACUCAGAAAGCUUUGCAAGAGCAAGAGUGCAUCUUGGGGGCACUGAAGAGCUAGAACUGCAUGAUGAUUGUGUAGUUAAUCAGUGGGUUUCAGAUUUACAGCAGUGGGCAGAAGAAAAUGACAGAUUUGGAAGUGAUGAUCUGAAAAGAUUACAAGAGGAAAUAGAGGGGCUGACAGUGAGCAUCAAAAGGCGAACACAGCGUCUGUACAGUCAAACAGAUAGCAACAAGCGGCGCCACGCCAUUCUUUGCAUCAUCAAAGGAAUGAGGAAAAGGAAAGAAACCUUGUUGUGCAUUCCCUCCUAUACUUCAGCUUUAAUCGUCCUUGUAACAUGGCCUUUUAAACUAAUGGUACUGUUUAUGAUAACAUAUUUAUGACAAUUUAACAAUUGACAAAAUGUUUAAAUGCUCUCCUACUUGUAAGUCGCUUUGGAUAAAAGGGUCUGCCAAAUGAAUAAAUGUAAAUGUAAAAGCUGGCUGCUGCAGUGGAAGAAUACAACAGAAUAGCCAAUUUUUCACAGCAGCUUGGUUCAGAUGAAGACUUCUUUAUAGCUGAGACUGUUGCUUGGCUAUGGCAAAUUCUCGGCAAUACUGAAUCUUUGCCUUUUCUCACCAAGAGGAAUGUGUUUGACAGAGUGAUGGCAGACGACUUAAGGAAGAAAAAAGUCUAAUUUGUAAGGAGAUGCAACAACAUGGAUGGUCCUGACACAUAAGUCCAAGCUUAAAGCGCUGAUCAGUGAAAUAAGUUCUAAAGUGAGAAAGUCUUUACACAUUCGUUUAUACACUCACCUAAAGGAUUAUUAGGAACACCUGUUCAAUUUCUCAUUAAUGCAAUUAUCUAAUCAACCAAUCACAUGGCAGUUGCUUCAAUGCAUUUAGGGGUGUGGUCCUGGUCAAGACAAUCUCCUGAACUCCAAACUGAAUGUCAGAAUGGGAAAGAAAGGUGAUUUAAGCAAUUUUGAGCGUGGCAUGGUUGUUGGUGCCAGACGGGCCGGUCUGAGUAUUUCACAAUCUGCUCAGUUACUGGGAUUUUCACGCACAACCAUUUCUAGGGUUUACAAAGAAUGGUGUGAAAAGGGAAAAACAUCCAGUAUGCGGCAGUCCUGUGGGCGAAAAUGCCUUGUUGAUGCUAGAGGUCAGAGGAGAAUGGGCCGACUGAUUCAAGCUGAUAGAAGAGCAACUUUGACUGAAAUAACCACUCGUUACAACCGAGGUAUGCAGCAAAGCAUUUGUGAAGCCACAACACGCACAACCUUGAGGUAGAUGGGCUACAACAGCAGAAGACCCCACCGGGUACCACUCAUCUCCACUACAAAUAGGAAAAAGAGGCUACAAUUUGCACGAGCUCACCAAAAUUGGACAGUUGAAGACUGGAAAAAUGUUGCCUGGUCUGAUGAGUCUCGAUUUCUGUUGAGACAUUCAAAUGGUAGAGUCAGAAUUUGGCGUAAACAGAAUGAGAACAUGGAUCCAUCAUGCCUUGUUACCACUGUGCAGGCUGGUGGUGGUGGUGUAAUGGUGUGGGGGAUGUUUUCUUGGCACACUUUAGGCCCCUUAGUGCCAAUUGGGCAUCGUUUAAAUGCCACGGCCUACCUGAGCAUUGUUUCUGACCAUGUCCAUCCCUUUAUGACCACCAUGUACCCAUCCUCUAAUGGCUACUUCCAGCAGGAUAAUGCACCAUGUCACAAAGCUCGAAUCAUUUCAAAUUGGUUUCUUGAACAUGACAAUGAGUUCACUGUACUAGAAUGGCCCCCACAGUCACCAGAUCUCAACCCGAUAGAACAUCUUUGGGAUGUGGUGGAACGGGAGCUUCGUGCCCUGGAUGUGCAUCCCACAAAUCUCCAUCAACUGCAAGAUGCUAUCCUAUCAAUAUGGGCCAACAUUUCUAAAGAAUGCUUUCAGCACCUUGUUGAAUCAAUGCCACGUAGAAUUAAGGCAGUUCUGAAGGCGAAAGGGGGUCAAACACCGUAUUAGUAUGGUGUUCCUAAUAAUCCUUUAGGUGAGU